This 2047-nucleotide long non-coding RNA is filed under the name Phoenix dactylifera (date palm). Its description in RNAcentral is "long non-coding RNA (PDAC_LNC003856)". The record is from RNAcentral. Lineage: Eukaryota; Viridiplantae; Streptophyta; Magnoliopsida; Arecales; Arecaceae.
CGACAUAUCCAAAUAAACAAAUUAGUUCAAUUACAAGAUCUUCAAAUGUUCAUCGUCAUCAAAGAAGCAUAAACAAACUAACUAGAUAAUGACUCUGAUACUUGCACUCUGCGCCCAUCCCAUCCAAAUCUAAGCAUCCUGCAACUCUGAUAAAAAAAAAGAAGAAAAGGAAAUGAGCUUUACAGCCCAGUAAGAAUCCCUACACAUCCACCAACACAAUAAUAAUAUAUCUGAAAACCACGACAAGUCGAUGCACAUAUCAUGAAGUCAUAAAUCGGCUAUCAAAGCUCAAAUAAUCAAUAUAAGUAUGUACAUCAAACAUCAAUAAAAGUCCAGCCACACAAGAAUGAUAUAGCAUAUGAUAGUUCAUAAAUCUGUAUUAUAGUUUCAAUGCCUUUUCUUCAACUUGAUCCAGAUUAAUUAUCUUUCCGACUUUGGGUCAAAUCUCGGUCACAUUUCUCAGACUGUGGUGGGGCAACCAAAUUAUCACAUUUUCAGCCUGUGGCAGGGCCUACACAUUAUAGUUCCACAUUUCUAGCCUGUGAUGGGGCCUGCCAAAGUAUCACAUUUUGAGCCUGUGGCGGGGCCUGCAUAUUAUAGUUCCACAUUUCNNNNNNNNNNNNNNNNNNNNCGGGGCCUGCAUAUUAUAGUUCCACAUUUCUAGCCUGUGACGGGGCCUGCCAAAGUAUCACAUUUUCAGCCUAUGGCGGGGCCUGCACAUUAUAGUUCCACAUUUCUAGCCUAUGAGGGGGCCUACCAAAGUACCACAUUUUUAGCCUGUGACGGGGCUUGCCAUAAUAACAAGAUAAACCCAAAGUCCCUUUUCAUACAAUCCAGUUUACAUCCACACAUCAAUUUCUUUUUAUUUAUUUCCGGCUUUAAACUAACCACGGUUACGUUUCCAGCCCGUGACGGGGCAACCAAUAUCACAUGGUUAGUUUAGAGCACCAUAUCCAUCAGUCCAAUUAUGUAGGUGUAGGUUAUGCGCAUGCAUGCAUCCAUCAUGAUACCAACCACAAGCGAAUACGAUCAUAAUAUCAACCACAAGCCAACACGAUCAAAAUAUAAUUUAAUAAAAACUAUUUUUGAUUUGUCUGGAUCAUAGCAUAUCAUAUAUAUCUAAGUAUAAAAAUAUUAUAUCAUGCAGGAUUGGUGUACAAGGAUCCUUACCCUUUAUUGAAAACUCAGACAACUAAUCACCCGCUCUCACGGCGAUCUAUGAACCGGAAUACGCAGGACUCUGCUCAGCGUCCUCUCGUCCAAUAGAUUGUUCCCCUACAGAAUCAAAUCAAUAUUAAAAGUUACCCAAGAUAUCUGACAACCCAAAGCUCUCUAUGGAUCCUCUCAAGGGUCUACAAGUAUCUAGUACCCAAGACUAACCAACAAUCUAUGAUCUCCCUGAAUUAAACUAGAGAGAAAACAGACUAAUAAGAGACAGCAACUAGAGGGAGAAAAUAAAAUAACAAAGAAGAGAGAGAGUCGACUCUCUCUCUCUCUCUCCCUCUCUUCAUUCUUCUUCCCGUAAAUAAAACAACAAAGAAGAGAGAGAGUUGGCUCUCUCUCUCUCUUCCUUCCUCCUUCCCAACGGAAAGGAGGAGAGUGCUUGGCAGCCGGCGGCCCAUGGCCGGCGACGCCCCAUGGUGGUGCCACGCCCGGCGACGGCCGGCCGGAACGGAAGGGAAGAAGGCCGAACAGAGGCUCGGCUUUCCCCAUCAGCCCGGCGGCUUCUCGGCCACAUCCUCAAGGAAAUAAUAGCCAAAGACGAAGGAGAAGGAGGCGAGGGUGCUCACCUUGCCUCCGGCGAGCCUUUCCGGCUGGUCCAAUGGCGGGCAACCCGAGCUUCUCCCACGGAUCGCCUAGAACUCCAAAUCCCUCUUUUCUCCCAUUUUUUUUUUUUUGUGGAAGGACUCUCGGUUGAUGCCCUCAGGAAGAGGGGAAGAGAUUCUUUUUAUAGAUGUAAAUUGAUUCAAAUAAGGUAGGAUUUGAUCCCGUCUCCCUCUCCUUUUUUUUUCUUUGUUUCCUCUUCCGGUGGAUUCAUGGGAGCAAG